RNAcentral lists this small RNA (74 nucleotides) under Xanthomonas cannabis. RNAcentral describes it as "sX9". It matches the Rfam family "Xanthomonas sRNA sX9". Lineage: Bacteria; Pseudomonadati; Pseudomonadota; Gammaproteobacteria; Lysobacterales; Lysobacteraceae. The record is from RNAcentral.
AUGUACCACGCGUCCACGCCGGUCCCUCCGCGCCAUCCGCACCCGCCUGGCGGCGCUCGCUACGUUUUUUAGCC